GUGAGGAAUAUUGGUCAAUGGACGAGAGUCUGAACCAGCCAAGUCGCGUGAAGGAAGUCGGUUCUAUGAAUUGUAAACUUCUUUUGUGCAGGAAUAAAGUGGGUUACGUGUAACCUUUUGUAUGUACUGUACGAAUAAGGAUCGGCUAACUCCGUGCCAGCAGCCGCGGUAAUACGGAGGAUCCGAGCGUUAUCCGGAUUUAUUGGUUUCAACGGGUGCGUAGGUGGAUUGAUAAGUCAGCUGUGAAAGUUUGCAGCUUAACUGUAAAAUUGCCGUUGUAACUGUCGGUCUUGAGUGCAAAUGGGGUAGGCGGAAUGUGUUGUGUAGCAGUGAAAUGCUUAGAUAUAACACAGAACUCCGAUUGCGAAGGCAGCUUACUGGGAUGCAACUGACACUGAUGCACGAAAGCGUGGGUAUCAAACAGGAUUAGUAACCCCUGUAGUCC
This 445-nucleotide ribosomal RNA is filed under the name uncultured bacterium. Its description in RNAcentral is "partial 16S ribosomal RNA". It matches the Rfam family "Bacterial small subunit ribosomal RNA", at positions 354 to 796 of the family's 1533-position model. The record is from RNAcentral.